GACGAACGCUGGCGGCGUGCUUAACACAUGCAAGUCGAACGGAAAGGCCCCUUUGGGGGUACUCGAGUGGCGAACGGGUGAGUAACACGUGAGUAACCUGCCCUUGACUUCGGGAUAACUUCAGGAAACUGGGGCUAAUACCGGAUAGGAAUCCUUGCUGCAUGGUGGGGGUUGGAAAGCUUCGGCGGUUUUGGAUGGACUCGCGGCUUAUCAGCUUGUUGGUGGGGUAGUGGCUUACCAAGGCUUUGACGGGUAGCCGGCCUGAGAGGGCGACCGGCCACAUUGGGGAUGGGAUAAGGCCCAGACUCCUACGGGAGGCAGGAGGGGGGAAUAUUGCACAAUGGGCGGAAGCCUGAUGCAGCAACGCCGCGGGCGGGAUGACGGCCUUCGGGUUGUAAACCGCUUUCAGCAGGGGCGAAGCUUGUGGUGACGGUACUUGCAGAAGAAGCACCGGCUAACUACGUG
Molecule: ribosomal RNA, 465 nt
Filed under: uncultured bacterium
Lineage: Bacteria
Description: partial 16S ribosomal RNA
Rfam family: Bacterial small subunit ribosomal RNA
Source: RNAcentral